Molecule: long non-coding RNA, 268 nt
Filed under: Fukomys damarensis (Damara mole-rat)
Lineage: Eukaryota; Metazoa; Chordata; Mammalia; Rodentia; Bathyergidae
Description: lncRNA (ENSFDAG00000021873.1)
Source: RNAcentral
ACCCAAAUUAUACCACUCAAUCCAUACAAAUCUUAUAAUGUUAUGUUUUACAGAUGAGAAGAUCAGCCCCAAGGAUGAGGAUAUGAACCCAAGAAUACCUGUUGUAUUGCAAAGUCACAUAGCUGCAUUGCACAGGGCCAGAACAAAGAUAAGAUCAAACGGGAAGGAGAAAAAACUGCAAAUGUGGAAGAUGUAAGCAGAAAAUAUUUCUGGUAAGCGUUAUAUUUCUUUAGAUUAUUAAGAUGCUGAAAGUAAUAUAUAUAUAUAU